Molecule: RNA transcript, 1437 nt
Organism: Nannospalax galili (Upper Galilee mountains blind mole rat)
Lineage: Eukaryota; Metazoa; Chordata; Mammalia; Rodentia; Spalacidae
Gene name: protein RFT1 homolog
Exons: 3
Source: RefSeq, a predicted model, not a curated record
AUGUGGAAGGGGGUGCAGGAAGAAUAUAAGAGAUUAACAGUGCUUUACUCAACCACCAUUUUCCUGGCCAGAGAAGCCUUCUGCAGAGCUUGCCUGAGUGGAGGUACCCAGCGGAGCCGGAGUCAAACCCUUAACCUUCUGUGGCUAACAGUUCCCCUGGGUGUGUUUUGGUCCUUAUUCUUGGGCUGGAUCUGGUUGCAGUUGCUAGAGGUGCCUGAUCCAAAUGUGGUUGCCAACUAUGGAACUGGAGUUGUGCUGUUUGGUGUCUCAGCAGUGGUGGAACUUCUAGGAGAGCCUUUCUGGGUCUUGGCACAAGCACACAUAUUCAUUAAGUUCAAGGUAAUUGCUGAGAGCAUGUCAGUCAUCCUCAGGAGUGUCCUGACAGCUUUUCUAGUGCUGUGGUUGCCUCACUGGAGUCUGUACAUUUUCUCUCUGGCUCAGCUUUUUUAUACUGCAGUUCUGGUGCUCUGCUACGUUAUGUAUUUCACAAAAGUACUGCGUUCCCCAGAAUUAACCAAGCAACAAACUCUUCCUGUUUCCAGAAUAACAGAUCUGUUACCUAAUAUUACUUGAAGAAGAACUUUUGUCAACUGGGAAGAGGCUAAAUUGACGUGGAGUUUUUUCAAACAGUUUCUUGAAACAGAUUUUGACAGAAGGCGAGCGAUAUGGGAUGACAUUUUUGAAUGUGUUGAUUUUCCAGGCAAUAGAGGAGAGUUUUUAUAUAUUUUUUGCUAAGGUGAUGGAGAGGGAAAAGGAUGCCACACUUUAGAAGUAGGACAUUGCUGUGGCUGCUGCCAUUUUGGAGUCCCUUCUCAAGCUGGCCUUGGUGGUCGGUCUGACCAUCACUGUUUUUGGCUUUGCCUAGUCUCAACUGGCUCUGGACAUCUACAGAGGGGCCAUGCUUAGCUCAGGAUCAGGUCCUGUUUUGAUGCUUUCUUACUGUCUCUAUGUCCUCCUGCUUGCCAUAAAUGGAGUGACUGUUUCACAUUUGCUGCCAUGAGCAAAGAGGAGGUUGACAGGUACAAUUUCACCAUGCUGGCACUGUCUUCUUCCUUUCUGGUGUUGUCUUAUCUCCUGACCAGUUGGUGUGGCAGUGUGGGCUUCAUCUUGGCCAACUGCUUUAACAUGGGCAUUUGGAUCACACAGGGCCUUUACUUCAUCCACCACUACUUCCAAGGGAGCAGUCACAGACCCCUGGCCGGCCUGUACCUGUCACCAGUCCUCAUUGGGGUGUUUGCUCUCAGUGGUGGGAUUACUGGUAUUUCAGAGGCAUUCCUCUGCUGUCCGCAGGGCUGGCCCACCAGGCUGGCACACAUCAUUGUGGGGGCCAUCUGCUUAGGAGUGACCCUUGGGACAGCGUUCCUCACAGAGACCAAGCUGAUCCACUUUCUCAGGACUCAGUUGGGCGGAACCAGACUCACUGACAAAAUGACAUGA